RNAcentral lists this ribosomal RNA (450 nucleotides) under uncultured bacterium. RNAcentral describes it as "partial 16S ribosomal RNA". It matches the Rfam family "Bacterial small subunit ribosomal RNA", at positions 355 to 799 of the family's 1533-position model. The record is from RNAcentral.
UGGGGAAUAUUGCACAAUGGGCGCAAGCCUGAUGCAGCCAUGCCGCGUGUGUGAAGAAGGCCUUCGGGUUGUAAAGCACUUUCAGCGAGGAGGAAGGUGGUGAACUUAAUACGUUCAUCAAUUGACGUUACUCGCAGAAGAAGCACCGGCUAACUCCGUGCCAGCAGCCGCGGUAAUACGGAGGGUGCAAGCGUUAAUCGGAAUUACUGGGCGUAAAGCGCACGCAGGCGGUUUGUUAAGUCAGAUGUGAAAUCCCCGGGCUCAACCUGGGAACUGCAUUUGAAACUGGCAAGCUAGAGUCUCGUAGAGGGGGGUAGAAUUCCAGGUGUAGCGGUGAAAUGCGUAGAGAUCUGGAGGAAUACCGGUGGCGAAGGCGGCUCCCUGGACGAAGACUGACGCUCAGGUGCGAAAGCGUGGGGAGCAAAACAGUUAGNUACCCUGGUAGUCACG